Long non-coding RNA from Hyla sarda, 946 nucleotides. RefSeq lists it as uncharacterized. NCBI's taxonomy places the organism in Eukaryota, Metazoa, Chordata, Amphibia, Anura, Hylidae. The record is from RefSeq and is a predicted model, not a curated record. The transcript has 5 exons.
CUGGCCGAGGCAGCUGUCAGUCAGGGCGGGGAGGGUGGAGGUUCUGUGCCAGCAUCGGGCUGCCAAGGACAUGAAGAAGUGUGAUGAGGCGGUCAGCCCUCCGGGCAUAAGAUGCUGGAGGAGGAUGAAGAAGCCAUGGGAGGCGACUCGGAGUGAUGUUUUUGGACCUGAUGGCUGAUGACUUUACUGGUGGAGUCAAGAUGAAGGCUUCCGGAGCUUUCUCUCCUGGGGGUCUAUUUACACACUGCAUCACAUCAUGACUGUGUGCCGGUCUUCUCCAUGGCUGUGACCUGAAAGGAAAGCAAAGGCGGAAUGAAGAGGAAACAAUGCGCGCUCUGUACCAUUGGGGCGGCCCCAAAGCAAAUAGGCAGCACAGAUGGUAUAUGAAAAGGUGAUGAAGAGCCAAUAUUUAUAACUGUGUUUUGCUAUUUGGAAACUGUCUUUGGAGGAUAUCGCCGCUAGAUGUGACUGGCUGUGACCUUGCAUAAUGUGAUGAAGAACCACAAUGUGGUCUGUGAGACACGAGCACUUUUAGAUGCAGAGAAGGAAUUUGGAAGAGUUGGGUUCUGGCUUCAAUCCACAAUUACUAUAGAGAACAACAACCCAGGAUACGUUGUCAUUUUAUUCAUUUAAAAUAGUGCCUGUAUAUAUUUUAUUUUAAUGAUAAUUCUACGAAAUAGCUCAGAGUACUAGGUUUAAGCGUAUUAGUGGUUGAGAACAUUUGAGCUAUUAUGAAGUGGCACCAGUGAUGUUUUGUCUUCAUCCGUCAUACUAUCUAAUCCAGUAUUUUUUCAUAAUACGAGUAUAUGACGUUUACCAGAGCCCGUAAGGCCCUAUUCACAUAAUAUUUUGCCAAUAUACUGUCCUUUUCAUAUAAGGUAUUGUGAUUAUAGAGAUACCAGGUGUAUAUUUUUAUGGCUUUUAUGUAAUAAAAACUGAAGAUAAA